AAUUGGCGGGAAAAAUAUUUUUGAAAACAAAAUUUGGCGGGAAUUUUUUUUCGAAAAGUUUUGGCGGGAAAUUUUUUUUCGAAAAUUUUGGGCGGGAAAAUUUUGGCGGGAAAUUGAUUUUGGAAUAUUUUAGGCGAAAAAAUAUUAAUAUUUCAUUUUGUUAACCUAAAACAAUUCUAAAUAAGGGUAAAAUGGUCAUUGAAAAUUUAAAGAGGGUAAAAAUAAAAAUGGAUAAAACAAAACGGUAGAGUUGAAAAGGAGCAUCAUGAAAAGGGCAUUAGAAAGAAUUUUUCUAUAUUCAAA
RNAcentral lists this small RNA (303 nucleotides) under Arabidopsis thaliana (thale cress). RNAcentral's name for it is "ATSL055470". Lineage: Eukaryota; Viridiplantae; Streptophyta; Magnoliopsida; Brassicales; Brassicaceae. The record is from RNAcentral.